UACGUAGGGCGCAAGCGUUGUCCGGAAUUAUUGGGCGUAAAGGGCGCGUAGGCGAUUCGAAAAGUCAACUGUGAAAGCCCAGGGCCUAACCCUGGAAGUGCAGCUGAUACUGUUGAAUUUGAGUUCCGGAGAGGAAGGCAGAAUUCCCGGUGUAGCGGUGAAAUGCGUAGAUAUCGGGAGGAAUACCAGUGGCGAAGGCGGCCUUCUGGACGGAUACUGACGCUGAGGCGCGAAAGCUAGGGGAGCAAACGGG
This 253-nucleotide ribosomal RNA is filed under the name uncultured bacterium. Its description in RNAcentral is "partial 16S ribosomal RNA". It matches the Rfam family "Bacterial small subunit ribosomal RNA", at positions 524 to 776 of the family's 1533-position model. The record is from RNAcentral.